AUGACACUCCUAAGUUGGAACUGUCGGGGCCUAGGGCAACCCCGCACGGUUCAUGAACUCGUGCAAAUAGUGCACAAGCAUAGGCCCAAAUUAGUUUUUAUCUCGGAAACAAGGCAAAGCAGUGAGGUGAAUAAUUUAAGGUGGAGGCUUGGCCUCAAGCAUUGUAUUGUGCAGCCGGGCUCCGGUAAAGGUGCCGGCAUUGCACUCUUCUAUGAUGAGAGUGUUGAAAUAAAAGAACUUGGCGUUGGCCUGAGGUACAUCGAUGUGUUGAUCCGCCUGUGUCCAAAUGGGGUUUAA
This 297-nucleotide ribosomal RNA is filed under the name Triticum aestivum (bread wheat). RNAcentral's name for it is "partial small subunit ribosomal RNA". The record is from RNAcentral. Lineage: Eukaryota; Viridiplantae; Streptophyta; Magnoliopsida; Poales; Poaceae.